CAAACAAACAGAGCCUAAAUGUAUUUGACACUGUGCACUCACUGGAAAUAGCCUAAGAUAGCAACCAUUAUAUGAAUAGGAAAUAUAGGUUCAGACAGGACCAGUAAUUCCUCAAACUUUUUAUAGCUCAACUCCAGACAGGAACCCACAUCUCGCCGAUGUGUAUGACAAGCUCGUCUAAGGCUUCUACUGACUAGGAGUAUGAUCAAAUGCCUCAUUAACAAGUUCACCUAUCCGCCCCACGUCAAACAUCUGACCAAAUUGUGUAUGCACUGCACAUCAUCUGACGCCUCCUCUAGUUCGCGGCCUCCUCCAGCCCAGGCAUGUUAUUGACUCCGCAGCCGGGGCAUACGUACCGACGCUGCAGCUCCACUGCAAGUGAAGCGUGCACCUUCUCCAGUUCAGCUGCCCGCGUGUUCGAGGUCAAAGAAAGCUUCGCCGAAAGCAUGGGGAAUAUGCGACUAGAAAUGCAUAGGAACAGACAGCUCUGUAUGUUCAGGAUAUUCGCCGAGCUCCUGCAACUGCUUUGUCUCUUCCAUAACAGCCUCCAUAAGAGCUCUCUUUGCUUGGACUUCGGCCAGCUCCUGACGGACCUGCGAACAAAGCACCAAAAUCCUUGGUUUUUGUUAAACUGGCGCCUGGCAGGACAAAAUGUCCUUAAUCACCGAAC
Molecule: unclassified non-coding RNA, 670 nt
Filed under: Zea mays
Lineage: Eukaryota; Viridiplantae; Streptophyta; Magnoliopsida; Poales; Poaceae
Description: misc RNA Zm00001eb280050
Source: RNAcentral